This 1106-nucleotide unclassified non-coding RNA is filed under the name Hevea brasiliensis (rubber tree). The record is from RNAcentral. Lineage: Eukaryota; Viridiplantae; Streptophyta; Magnoliopsida; Malpighiales; Euphorbiaceae.
CUCUCUCUCUCUCUCUCUCUAAUGAAUCAUCCACAAACAAGCACAUUCCCAAAUUUGCUUUCAAAACUAAUAUCAUUUCAUGUAGGUUUAAGUCUAAAUUCAAACCCCUUAAACAUAGAUGAAAAGAAGUCCUGGAGUUUGGGGCCAAUUUCAAUUAAGAUCUAAAUGGUCUAGAAUUUAAGAAUUUUUGAUUUUUUAUUUGUAAUUUCUGUAGUUUUCUUUGAUGUUUGACAAAAGUAGUUUGAGAUUAUAAUUACAUAUACAGUGAAUUUUAAUUUAAUAUAUGAAUUCAUGAAAUUGUUGAAUACCAAGCUGGACUUUAGGAAAGUUUUAGAUUUGGGGUUGAUGUUCUAGGUGUAGUUCACAUAGCAAUAGUUACUUAUAAAAAUUGAACUUAUAAACUUGUUUUGCUCAAAGGGGUUUUCUUUAUACAGCACAUUUGCAAGAUUUCAUGAAGAAAUUAAUCAAUGAGUUGAAAAAUCAAAACUCUGCCAAGAUUUGAAUUGAAAUUCUUAAGUUAUGAGAGAUCAAAAUGUAAUGUAAUGUAAUGUUAGGACGUUAAUUGAAGUUGGCCCUAUACUUUAAGCUUUCUUUUGUAAUUAUCCUCAAAAGAAUCAAGUGGUUUUGGAUAAAUUCUCGAAGUUCUGUAACAAAACUUUGAUUUGUUUCCAUUUCAUCUUCAUUUUUUUUACCAUAUUUGUGGAUGAAAUGAAUUUAACUGAUAAGCAUUUUGCUAUUGUUGCUUGACCUACAAUGCAGGAUGUUAAAGACCCAUUUGACUUGUUAUUAAUAUUAUCUUCAUUUCUAUGCUAAUUCACAAAUACUUGUGCAUUAUGAAGCCAAGAUAAAUUUUUUAAGAAGUAAAGAAAAUAAGCAAAAAAUAAAAAUGGUAGUCUCAUUAGAUUUGAUUAUUUUAUCAGUUUGCAUUUACACAAAUAGGUAAUGACCUAAAAAAUUGAGUUUUUGAAUCCUAAACAGAUAUCAGGUGCAGAUAUCCUGGAUAUAGUUUCAAUUUGUUCAUAGAUAUCUGAUGUGGCUUGCAUGGGAAAAGUCUAUAAAAAAAAUUUCUCCUGAAUUUCAAAGUACCAGCUUUGAAUGUGUUUCUA